Molecule: long non-coding RNA, 251 nt
Organism: Arabidopsis thaliana (thale cress)
Lineage: Eukaryota; Viridiplantae; Streptophyta; Magnoliopsida; Brassicales; Brassicaceae
Product: other RNA
Exons: 1
Source: RefSeq
AAGCAGAGAUUCACCGCUUCGUGUCCUUAAAAACGUCACAGAAAGAGAAAUGGAACAAGGAAGAGAAGACUGACACACAAAGUCUGAUGAAUCUGUUGGACAAAAAUAUGCCUAAGCAAAGUUUCUUGAUAUGACCUUAACACUAUUCGACCUCACUCCUUACCUCUGUUUUUAUCGUUUCAUCUUUUUUUUAUUAAAAACAAUGAUCUGUAUUUCAAUAAAAGAUACGAAAAGAGUCAUUAUUAUGUAAC